Molecule: ribosomal RNA, 506 nt
Filed under: uncultured bacterium
Lineage: Bacteria
Description: partial 16S ribosomal RNA
Rfam family: Bacterial small subunit ribosomal RNA
Source: RNAcentral
AGUGAACGCUGGCGGUAGGCCUAACACAUGCAAGUCGAACGGCAGCACAGGAGAGCUUGCUCUCUGGGUGGCGAGUGGCGGACGGGUGAGGAAUACAUCGGAAUCUACUCUGUCGUGGGGGAUAACGUAGGGAAACUUACGCUAAUACCGCAUACGACCGACGGGGAAAAGCAGGGGACCUUCGGGCCUUGCUCGAUUGAAUGAGCCGAUGUCGGAUUAGCUAGUUGGCGGGGUAAAGGCCCACCAAGGCGACGAUCCGUAGCUGGUCUGAGAGGAUGAUCAGCCACACUGGAACUGAGACACGGUCCAGACUCCUACGGGAGGCAGCAGUGGGGAAUAUUGGACAAUGGGCGCAAGCCUGAUCCAGCCAUACAGCGUGGGUGAAGAAGGCCUUCGGGUUGUAAAGCCCUUUUGUUGGGAAAGAAAUCCAGCUGGCUAAUACCCGGUUGGGACGGCGGUACCCAAAGAAUAAGCACCGGCUAACUUCGUGCCAGCCGCCGCAGUAA